UCCAGACCCCGGCCCGAGCACGGAGCGCGUGGAUUCACUUCGCACCACAGUCGCUUAAGGCGCUCGGCCACUUUGCCUCAUUUUGCAAAAGAAGACAAUAAUGGUUGCGAGAGCGCGCCAGGCCCAGCCACAAGGCAAAAGGUGGAGCUGGAGCAGGGCAGGGGGGCUGGGCACCUGGGUCCGAGAUACUGCAGUGGAAACUAAGGCCAGAACUCUGACUCCCAAGCCAAACACUGCUUCAGCCUAGGCCGCCUCGGCCUCCCCGUUCCUGAGAAGACACUCCCGACAGGGCUCACAUGUUCCUGGCUGGAGAUAGAGUCCAGUCACCAACGGCCAGUGAUUUCAUCAUAUGUACAUAAUGGAGCCUCUGCAAAAACCCAACAAGGAGGGCUCGGGAAGCACAUGACGGUGCUGCCUACAUGAUGGGCGGUGGCACAUCUGGAGAAAGCAUGGAAGCCCAGUGCCAUUCUUCGCUCCCUGCCUUCACCAUCUACCUCCUCCGGCUGUUGGGAGUGUUUUCCUGAGCACUGUGAGCCAUUCUGGCAAACCAAGGGGGGGAGCCGAGGGAACCCCUGAUGUAUAGCCAGAGGGUCAGAAGUUUGGGUGGCCCGAGACUUGUGGCAGGUGUCUGAAGUCGGGGCGGUCUUGUGUGGGACUGAGCCCUUAACCUGUGGGGUCUGAUGCCAGCUCCAAGAAUUGAAAUCCAGUAGGUGCCAGAAAACUGGAGGGAGCUUGUGCCUCCAAGUGACAAGUGACCUGGGAAUGUGUGCAGAGACCAGAGAGGUCCCCAGCCCCAGGCCUGGGGAGCCCUAGCAUUCAUUGGGCAGCCUGCAGGAGGUGCCAGGAAGAUGGUGGGUGCCAGGAAGAUGGUGGGGGUGCCAGGCUCCCCGGAAGGGCAGUGGGGUGGCUGGGUGGGGGGCUGGGAGGGACGUGGCCUCGGGCUGCUUCUAAUCCUGGCAGACAAAUGGGCACCGUACAGUGAUCGCAGGGACCACCUGGGGACCCCGGUGGGGCUCUCGAGGGCAGGGGCAGGGCUGUCUCAGCCACCGAGUGCCAGUGCCCAGGUGGAGCCUGGCGCACAGGAGGGACUGUGGGAUCGGAGUGCCGGCAAGAUGACACCUGGGGAUGUCGUCCAACAAGUGGCCGGAAUGGUGGGCGGCCCCUAGCCCCUCGGCCAUGGUACAGAUUGUGACCUUGGGAAGACCCUUCUGGGGCUGGGGGGCUGGACUUGUGACAUCCUUGGCGCGGGAAGGAUGGUCACGGGACUGCCUGCCGCUGAGGUGCCGGGGGUGACGGCCACCCUGGGAGGCACGGGGGCUGCAGGGGAGUCUGGUGGAGGGCCUAGGGAGUCGGGUGGGCAAGGCGAAGCUGAGGCAUGACGGGGUUGAAGGAGGCAGACGCUGGCCCUGGACUCCGGACCGUGGGGGAGAGAGAUGUUAUCCCCGAGAAGAACGGUACGGGCAGGCCGCCCGGGGAGCAGGGUACACUCUGCCCCACAGGGCCUGCUUGACCUUGUCUCCUGCGCCCCUUGGAUUCCCAGGCCACCUUAGAACUCGGACCAAGGCUGCUGGCCAGCAGGGCUGUCCCGGAGGCUAAGGCCCACAGCCCCUGACCCCUGGACCCCUUUAAUCCCAGUCUUACUCUUUAUCUAUUUUUCCUUCCUAAGAUAAACACCCACCCGCACUACGUCCUUCAAGAACAGGACCCUGACCCCUGCCUUGCCUUCAGCUCCUCACCUGGAACAUGGGACAAGGACAGCCAUCCCUGCUGGCAUCCCGGGCCUGUGGGAUUCCACUGGGCCUCAGCGUCCCCAUCCCCAUCAUGGGCACAGGGGCGGCCCCAGCGAGCCGGCCUAGUUGGGAGAAACAAUAAAAUAGUGCCGUCACC
Leopardus geoffroyi (Geoffroy's cat) is the source of this 1887-nucleotide long non-coding RNA. RefSeq lists it as uncharacterized. The transcript has 2 exons. The record is from RefSeq and is a predicted model, not a curated record. NCBI's taxonomy places the organism in Eukaryota, Metazoa, Chordata, Mammalia, Carnivora, Felidae.